AGAGAGGCUUCCACGACCUUGGUCGUUCGGGGGCCUUUUUCUUUUGC
RNAcentral lists this antisense RNA (47 nucleotides) under Velazquezella soli. RNAcentral's name for it is "Rhizobium soli ctRNA". It matches the Rfam family "ctRNA". From Rfam's summary of the family: This family represents a group of ctRNAs (or counter-transcribed RNAs) from p42d and related plasmids. ctRNAs are small, highly structured, antisense sequences which are involved in negative regulation. Lineage: Bacteria; Pseudomonadati; Pseudomonadota; Alphaproteobacteria; Hyphomicrobiales; Rhizobiaceae. The record is from RNAcentral. RNAcentral also lists the same sequence under 2 other names.